This is a long non-coding RNA of Dicentrarchus labrax (European seabass), 2209 nucleotides long. RefSeq lists it as uncharacterized. The record is from RefSeq and is a predicted model, not a curated record. Lineage: Eukaryota; Metazoa; Chordata; Actinopteri; Moronidae. The transcript is spliced from 2 exons.
UGUCUGUGCCUUGGAGGAAUUGUACAUGCACAUCUGAUUGUCUCUUCAUUGACUUGUCUUGGAACAAAGUGAACAGUGAGGAUGGAGGGAGAAAGGAGAUUUUGGCCCAAACACAAACCCCUGAGACCUUAUAAGAUGUAGCUGGGCUUUUAAAGGACUAGUACACCUACACAAUUAAUGAAUAUAAUGCUUUUUCGAUGAGCUUUGAUAUAAAAGCUGUAUGUGAUGACAUUUCAUAAUAGUGAGUGGUAGUUGACUCUUACAGGAUGUAACAGAACAUUAGGUCUGUCCUGUUAUUGAUUACGAUGUAGAGCCACCUUUAUAAACACUCCAUAUUUGCUAUAAUAGAGAUAAUAUACAACAAGCUGUGUUUAUUAGAAAAGAACAUAUUGGGGGGUUUUAGGCAUCCAUUUGGUGUUAUUUUACAUACUUACAUACAUAUACAGUUAAGCAGUGAUGGCUGGUGGUGAUUUUGGGUGGGUGGGCUAACAAAUGCAUUACACUCAUCACUAUGUCACACAGCAGCAACAGUAGCAUCACAUCAAGUUACAGCAACAACAUUGUAUACUUUGUUAUAGCAAGUGCUCUACGGCAACACUGUGGAGACAUACCGAAAUGAAUGGCCUGAUGCCAAAAAAAUCUCUCUCCUCUUUACACAUAAGCACAUGCCAAUUGCAUUACAACAUUAAAGAAAAGUACCAGCAACAAUUUGCAACUCCAUGUACUAAAAACAAAACUAUCUACAAAACCAAAGCAAAAAUAACAGUAUUUGUAAAAGACAACGAGUUGUUUCAGAGCUUGGGCAUACCUUAUUUAAAAAGCAGCUCACAUCGACGGCAUUCCUGGGACGCAAACAGGUAAAUCACAUGUGAUUAAAGUCUGGUGGUUUUUGGAUGAAGUCCCUCUCAAUGGGCAGCGUAGCCAGUCUGUUUAGCCUGUCCUGUCCAUUUGUACUUCUUAGAAAGGAUCCGCUUCAGUAUACUGAAACACCUCUCUGACUCUGCAGAUGUCAUGGGGGUUGUGAUGGCUAUUUGUGUUACUUUCAGUGUUUCAGAAAAAAGUGCUCUGAAGAUUGUGCCUGGCUUUCUCAAAGCGAGCCUUUGACUGCUCGACCAUUAUGUCACAGCACUGUACGGCUACUGACACAUUAUCAGAGCGCCGCUUCCUGCGCGGCGUUGCAGCAACUGCAGCGGUGUCCGCAUCUGGAUGUGGCUGAUUGUCAUCUGUGGUCAGCAGUUCAGAUAUGGAGCACGAAAAAUUCUCCAGGCCCUGUCUCGCUUUGAGAGAAUCUGUGGUCUUAGACGUGUACUUGGCAACCUGUGUGUUUGACAGGUGAUCGGCUAAUUGACUAAAAAAGAGAUUUUAAUACAGUCCACAGUCCGUGAUAGUGAAUGCCUGUUUUUUUUUUUACCCGCUCGUUGUGUCUCUGUACAGCGGUGCGGUGACCCUCAUUGAGCUGACAAGCAUUGUUCACUUUACCCAGCAAUGACAACUUUACGCUAUUUCCAAGGUGGCUCGUGCUGCAUUCAUGUUUCCUAAUUUUGUCGGAUAAAUGUCUUAAAUCCGCAAUUCCUUGUUGGGUCCAAGCCGUGUCUCCUCCAAACAGCAAACAUGGGAAACAGAAAAGUGAAUUCCUAGCUACACUUGCUGUUAGCCAGUCCGUUCGCUGAAACCAUGUAACACAAAAUUACGAUUUUGUCGUUUGUUCUUUUGUGUUAUUCGAACAUCGUUUGGUUGAUGUGUCCCCAAUCUCUGUACUUCCAAUUUUUCCUCCAAAGACUUUAAAGUAAAUUGAUUAGAAAGUAAAUAAUCCACCUCGUUCAUGUUCAUGCUAACGCCCGCCAUUACUACUGUUGCUCACUUCCCUCUCUCCAUGUUCUACUACGAACUAGCCUCACUCUACAGUGGCUACUGCAUUGUGAUUAGUCGAGGGUCAUUGUACUGUAGCUACUGCGCUGUGAUUGGUCAAAGGUCACUGUACUGUAGCUACUGCGCUGUGAUUGGUCAACGGUCACUGUACUGUAGCUACUGCGCUGUGAUUGGUCAACGGUCACUGUACUGUAGCUACUGCGCUGUGAUUGGUCAAAGGUCACUGGCCUUUGGGAUGAAUGAAUUUAGCCCAAAUGGGCAGCAUAUGAAGGGGGUGUGUCACAACACCUGUCAAUCAAAAUUGAAUCGAAGCUUAUGCUUCCGUGCUUGGCUGUAAAAA